RNAcentral lists this long non-coding RNA (264 nucleotides) under Homo sapiens (human). RNAcentral describes it as "HSALNT0168556". The record is from RNAcentral. Lineage: Eukaryota; Metazoa; Chordata; Mammalia; Primates; Hominidae.
GUAGGAGGGUCAUGGGUCAUGCUGGACCCACAGCAUGGCCAUUGUGACUUCAUCCUGUAAGGGAUGAAGAGGAAGUCAAGAUUUAAAAUAGAGGCAAGCCAUGAUCAUUGUCAGGAACCAGGAUCUAGAAUCAGCCGAGGCCUGCCUUCACCCCAGAGCAUUCCACAGGAUCAGGCUUUUCUAUUUUCUACUCAUCUGAGUCCACACUCUUUAUUUCCUUGGUUUUAAAUUCAGUUUCUCUAAUUCUUCAAAAAACUUGAGCAA